CUCUCUCUAGAAGUGGCCGUUAGAUAUUCAUCUGUCCACAGUUAGACAAACUGUCUAUAAAUGGAGAUGAUUUAGUACUAUAGGUACUCUCACUAGAAGUGGCCGUUAGAUAUUCAUCUGUCCACAGUUAGACAAACUGUCUAUAAAUGGAGAUGAUUUAGUACUAUAGGUACUCUCACUAGAAGUGGCCGUUAGAUAUUCAUCUGUCCACAGUGAGACAAACUGUCUAUAAAUGGAGAUGAUUUAGUACUAUAGGUACUCUCUCUAGAAGUGGCCGUUAGAUAUUCAUCUGUCCACAGUGAGACAAACUGUCUAUAAAUGGAGAUGAUUUAGUACUAUAGGUACUCUCUCUAGAAGUGGCCGUUAGAUAUUCAUCUGUCCACAGUUAGACAAACUGUCUAUAAAUGGAGAUGAUUUAGUACUAUAGGUACUCUCACUAGAAGUGGCCGUUAGAUAUUCAUCUGUCCACAGUUAGACAAACUGUCUAUAAAUGGAGAUGAUUUAGUACUAUAGGUACUCUCACUAGAAGUGGCCGUUAGAUAUUCAUCUGUCCACAGUUAGACAAACUGUCUAUAAAUGGAGAUGAUUUAGUACUAUAGGUACUCUCACUAGAAGUGGCCGUUAGAUAUUCAUCUGUCCACAGUUAGACAAACUGUCUAUAAAUGGAGAUGAUUUAGUACUAUAGGUACUCUCACUAGAAGUGGCCGUUAGAUAUUCAUCUGUCCACAGUUAGACAAACUGUCUAU
Xyrauchen texanus (razorback sucker) is the source of this 746-nucleotide long non-coding RNA. RefSeq lists it as uncharacterized. The record is from RefSeq and is a predicted model, not a curated record. Lineage: Eukaryota; Metazoa; Chordata; Actinopteri; Cypriniformes; Catostomidae. The transcript has 3 exons.